Molecule: ribosomal RNA, 1362 nt
Filed under: uncultured bacterium
Lineage: Bacteria
Description: 16S ribosomal RNA
Rfam family: Bacterial small subunit ribosomal RNA
Source: RNAcentral
GAUGAACGCUAGCGACAGGCUUAACACAUGCAAGUCGAGGGGCAGCAGGGGAGUAGCAAUACUCCCGCUGGCGACCGGCGCACGGGUGAGUAACACGUAUGCAACCUGCCCUUGUCAGGGGGAUAAGCGGAAGAAAUUCCGUCUAAUACCGCAUAACGCUGCGGGGAGACAUCUCCCUGCAGCCAAAGAUUUAUCGGACAAGGAUGGGCAUGCGGCGCAUUAGCUUGUUGGCGGGGUAACGGCCCACCAAGGCGACGAUGCGUAGGGGUUCUGAGAGGAAGGUCCCCCACACUGGUACUGAGACACGGACCAGACUCCUACGGGAGGCAGCAGUGAGGAAUAUUGGUCAAUGGCCGGGAGGCUGAACCAGCCAAGUCGCGUGAGGGAAGACGGUCCUAUGGAUUGUAAGCCUCUUUUGUCAGGGAGCAAAAACUGCCACGCGUGGCAGGAUGAGAGUACCUGAAGAAAAAGCAUCGGCUAACUCCGUGCCAGCAGCCGCGGUAAUACGGAGGAUGCGAGCGUUAUCCGGAUUUAUUGGGUUUAAAGGGUGCGUAGGCGGACAGUUAAGUCAGCGGUAAAAUUGAGAGGCUCAACCUCUUCCCGCCGUUGAAACUGAUUGUCUUGAGUGGGCGAGAAGUAUGCGGAAUGCGUGGUGUAGCGGUGAAAUGCAUAGAUAUCACGCAGAACUCCGAUUGCGAAGGCAGCAUACCGGCGCCCAACUGACGCUGAAGCACGAAAGCGUGGGUAUCGAACAGGAUUAGAUACCCUGGUAGUCCACGCAGUAAACGAUGAAUACUAAUUGUUCGGGUCGAGUGAGAUCUGAGUGAUACAGCGAAAGCGUUAAGUAUUCCACCUGGGGAGUACGCCGGCAACGGUGAAACUCAAAGGAAUUGACGGGGGCCCGCACAAGCGGAGGAACAUGUGGUUUAAUUCGAUGAUACGCGAGGAACCUUACCCGGGCUCAAACGACACAGGAAUGAUCUGAGAAAUCAGGCAGUCCUUCGGGACCUGUGUCGAGGUGCUGCAUGGUUGUCGUCAGCUCGUGCCGUGAGGUGUCGGCUUAAGUGCCAUAACGAGCGCAACCCCCAUCGACAGUUGCCAGCAGGUCAAGCUGGGCACUCUGUCGAGACUGCCGGCGCAAGCUGUGAGGAAGGCGGGGAUGACGUCAAAUCAGCACGGCCCUUACGUCCGGGGCGACACACGUGUUGCAAUGGCAGGUACAGCGGGAAGCCACCUGGCGACAGGGAGCGGAACCCGAAAGCCUGUCUCAGUUCGGAUUGGAGUCUGCAACUCGACUCCAUGAAGCUGGAUUCGCUAGUAAUCGCGCAUCAGCCACGGCGCGGUGAAUACGUUCCCGGGCCU